Molecule: ribosomal RNA, 253 nt
Filed under: uncultured bacterium
Lineage: Bacteria
Description: partial 16S ribosomal RNA
Rfam family: Bacterial small subunit ribosomal RNA
Source: RNAcentral
UACGUAGGGUGCGAGCGUUGUCCGGAAUUAUUGGGCGUAAAGGGCUCGUAGGCGGUCUGUCGCGUCGGCUGUGAAAACCUGGGGCUUAACUCCGGGCCUGCAGCCGAUACGGGCAGACUAGAGUUCGGCAGGGGAGACUGGAAUUCCUGGUGUAGCGGUGGAAUGCGUAGAGAUCCGGAAGAACACCGGUGGCGAAGGCGGCCUGCUGGGCAGUAGCUGACGCUGAGGCGCGACAGCGUGGGGAGCAAACAGG